This 391-nucleotide unclassified non-coding RNA is filed under the name soil metagenome. Its description in RNAcentral is "partial contains 5.8S ribosomal RNA, internal transcribed spacer 2, and large subunit ribosomal RNA". The stretch from base 1 to 122 matches the Rfam family "5.8S ribosomal RNA", at positions 35 to 154 of the family's 154-position model. The record is from RNAcentral.
GAUGAAGAACGUAGCGAAAUGCGAUACUUGGUGUGAAUUGCAGAAUCCCGUGAACCAUCGAGUCUUUGAACGCAAGUUGCGCCCGAAGCCAUUAGGCCGAGGGCAAGCCUGCCUGGGCGUCACACGUCGUUGCCCCCCCAUCUACUCCUUCGGGAUUGCGGGGGGCGGAUGAUGGCCUCUCGUGCGCCUCGUCGCGCGGUUGGCCUAAAUGCCAAGUCCUCGGCGACGCACGCCACGACAAUCGGUGGUUGCGAAACUUCGGUUGCCUGUCGUGUGCGGUCGUCGCGCAUCGAGGGCUCGAAAAAAUUGCCGGGCUUCGGCUCGACUUUCAACGCGACCCCAGGUCAGGCGGGGUUACCCGCUGAAUUUAAGCAUAUCAAUAAGCGGAGGA